RNAcentral lists this microRNA (20 nucleotides) under Ciona intestinalis (vase tunicate). RNAcentral's name for it is "cin-miR-4027-5p". The record is from miRBase by way of RNAcentral. Lineage: Eukaryota; Metazoa; Chordata; Ascidiacea; Phlebobranchia; Cionidae.
GUUGAACAUAAACAUAAUAU